This 335-nucleotide ribosomal RNA is filed under the name uncultured vent bacterium. RNAcentral describes it as "bacterial SSU rRNA". It matches the Rfam family "Bacterial small subunit ribosomal RNA", at positions 1040 to 1365 of the family's 1533-position model. The record is from RNAcentral.
UUUUUAUGGCUGUCGUCAGCUCGUGUCGGGAGAUGUUUGGUUAAGUCCUUCAACGAGCGCAACCCUUGUCAUUAGUUGCCAUCAUUUAGUUGGGCCCUCUAGUGAGCCUGCCGUGGAUAACUCGGAGGAAGGUGGGGAUGCCGUCAAUUCAUCAUGCCCCUUAUGUUCUGGGUUACACACGUGUUACAAUGGCUGGUACAGGGAGAAGCAAGUCCGUGAGGUGGAGCAAAUCUCCAAAACCAGUCCCAGUUCGGAUUGUAGGCUGCAACUCGCGAAACAUGAAGUCGGAGUUGCUAGUAAUCGUUAUCAGAAUAGCUACGGUUAUAUGCCCUCUG